RNAcentral lists this ribosomal RNA (448 nucleotides) under uncultured bacterium. RNAcentral describes it as "bacterial SSU rRNA". It matches the Rfam family "Bacterial small subunit ribosomal RNA", at positions 329 to 793 of the family's 1533-position model. The record is from RNAcentral.
CCCCAGACUCCUACGGGAGGCAGCAGUGAGGGAUAUUGGUCAAUGGGGGAAACCCUGAACCAGCAACGCCGCGUGAGGGAAGACGGUUUUCGGAUUGUAAACCUCUGUCCUCUGUGAAGAUAAUGACGGUAGCAGAGGAGGAAGCUCCGGCUAACUACGUGCCAGCAGCCGCGGUAAUACGUAGGGAGCGAGCGUUGUCCGGAUUUACUGGGUGUAAAGGGUGCGUAGGCGGCCCUGCAAGUCAGAAGUGAAAUCCAUGGGCUUAACCCGUGAACUGCUUUUGAACCUGCAGGACUUGAGUGGAGUAGAGGUAGGCGGAAUUCCCGGUGUAGCGGUGAAAUGCGUAGAGAUCGGGAGGAACACCAGUGGCGAAGGCGGAUUACUGGACGAUAACUGACGGUGAGGCGCGAAAGCGUGGGGAGCAACCAGGAAUAGAUACCCCAGUAUG